AGUGAACGCUGGCGGUAGGCCUAACACAUGCAAGUCGAACGGCAGCACAGUAAGAGCUUGCUCUUACGGGUGGCGAGUGGCGGACGGGUGAGGAAUACAUCGGAAUCUACUUUUUCGUGGGGGAUAACGUAGGGAAACUUCUGCUAUUACCGAAUACGACCACCGGGUAAAAGCAGGGGUUUUUGGCACUUUGGCGGUUGGAUGGAGCCGAUGCCGGAUUAGCUAGUUGGGGGGGUAAGGGCCCACCAAGGCGACGAUCCGUAGCUGGUCUGAGAGGAUGAUCAGCCACACUGGAACUGAGACACGGUCCAGACUCCUACGGGAGGCAGCAGUGGGGAAUAUUGGACAAUGGGCGCAAGCCUGAUCCAGCCAUACCGCGUGGGUGAAGAAGGCCUUCGGGUUGUAAAGCCCUUUUGUUGGGAAAGAAAAGCAGCAGGUUAAUACCCCGCUGUUCUGACGGUACCCAAAGAAUAAGCACCGGCUAACUUCGUG
Molecule: ribosomal RNA, 492 nt
Filed under: uncultured bacterium
Lineage: Bacteria
Description: partial 16S ribosomal RNA
Rfam family: Bacterial small subunit ribosomal RNA
Source: RNAcentral